This is a long non-coding RNA of Taeniopygia guttata (zebra finch), 3367 nucleotides long. NCBI's taxonomy places the organism in Eukaryota, Metazoa, Chordata, Aves, Passeriformes, Estrildidae. The record is from Ensembl.
AGGAAGAGGAGGAAGAUGAAGAAGAUGAGGAGGAAGAGGAGGAAGAGGAGGAGGAGGAAGAGGAAGAAGGAGAAUCCUCCGAGGCUGAAGGGCGGGUGAAGGUCAAGGAGGAAGAGGAGAUGGAGGAGGAGGAAGAGGAGGAAGGAAGAGAAGCCACGGCGGCACAGGGAGUGGCCGAUCCGGGGGUCCUGGCGCUGCCCCUCCCACCCCCCGCGGCCGAGGGGGAAGGGGGGGUUCCCGGGGGGGUCCCUGAGCCCCUCCCCCCCGCCAAAGCCGAACUUUUCGUGCUGGAAAUUGAAACUUUCCCCCUGGAGCCGGGGGAGACCCCUCCCCCCUCCCUCUCCCCCUCCCCUCCCCCCGCCCUGGGCGGCUCCGAGGCCACGCCCAAAGCCACGCCCCCCUCCCCUCCCCCUCCCCGCUUCCAGCUGGAUUUCGGGGCGCGGGGGGGCCACAAGCGCCCCUCCCCCCCUUCGCCCUGCCCCUCCCCCCCCAGGGCUGCGCUGGGGGGAGGCGCGGGCGCCGCCAUCAGCUCCACCUCCCUCAAUGGGGGAGGGGCUGCGACCCCCCCGGGACCCCCCCCCAGGAAACUGAGCCGGAUGGAGCUGCCUGGGGGGGGCAGCCUGGCGGUAACUGGGGGGGGCUCGGAGGGGGAGGAGCCGGAUUUGGGGGGGCGCCCCCCCCUCUCCCCUGCCCGACUCCACCCGCGCCGACUCCCCCGGGGGGGACCUGGUGAGCUCCUCCCAGGGGAGCCCCCCCCGGGCAGCCCCCCGGGCCUGCAAGGCCAGCGUGGGAACCCAGUGCGACCCCGAGGAGAUCAUCGUGCUCUCGGACUCGGAUUAGCCCCGCCCCCCGCCCGGCAAAUCCCGCCCCUUCCGCGUGCAGACCCCGCCCCUCUGGCCCCGCCCCCUCAAUAAACCCCGCCUUUUGUUUACGCGUGCGGCUCCGCCCAUUUGUGGGCGCGGUCUGCGGUGACGGCGCCUGUUGUAUCGCGACAUGACGUCAUACAGGGGGUGUGGUCUGUGCGGAUCAACGGGCGCGGCGCCUUUAAGGGGCGUGGCGGGUCCGGGGGCGUGGCUGGCGGGUUCAAGAUGGCGGCGGCGGCGCCGUGAGGGCUGAGCGCGGGUAACGCGGGCGGGGGGCGGGGCCUGCGCGGGAGGGGGCGGGGCCUGCGCGGGAGGGGGCGGGGCAAGGGGCGGGGGGGGAAUUGGGCAGAAUUUGGGGGGUCCUGGUGGGGCUUGAGGGGGAUAUGGGGGGGAAUUAAUGGGAUCUGGGGGUUCCUGGGGGGGAUUUGGGCGGUCUGGGAGGGAUUUGGGGGGAAUUAACGGGGUUUCGGGGGUCCUUGGGGGGGUCAGCGGGGGAUUUGGGAAAGAUCUAGGGAUUCUGGGGGUCCUGGGACGAAUUUGAGGGGAAUUUGGCGGGUCUGAGAUGGAUUUGGGUGGAUCUAGGGGACCUGGGAGGCGUUUGGGGGGGAUCAGGGGGGAAAUUAAAGGGGUUUGAGGGGGGGUCUGGCUGGGAUUUGGGGGUUGUGGGAGGGAUUUGGGGAGGAUUUGAGGGUCCUGGAGGGGAAUUAAUGGGAUUUGGGUGGUCCCUGGUGGGACUGGGGGGGAUUUGGGGAGCAUCUGGGGGGUCCUGGUGGGGACUGGGGAAAGAUUUGGGGGAUUCUGGGGGUCCUGGCGGGGAUUUGGGGUCCCAUUGGCGGGGAAUUAAUGGGAUUUGUGGGGUUCUGGGGGGUCCUGAGGGGGUUUGAGGGGGCUUUGGGGGGUCGUGAGAGGGAUUUGGGGGGAUUAGAGGGGUCCUGGGGGUUAUUGUGGGGUCCAGGGGAUGGAUCUGGGGGGACUUGGGAGGGCUUGGGUGGGAUUUGGGGGAAACUGGGAAGGAAUUUGGGGUUUUGGGGGGAUUCGGGGCGGUUUUGAGGGAUCCUUUGGGGGAUUUGGGGGGGAUUUGGGGGGUCCCGAGAGGGUCCAGGGGGGAAUUUGGAGGAGCUCAGGGGAUUUUGGGGGGUCCUUUGAGGGAUUUGGUGGUUUUGGGGGGUCCUUUGGGGUAUUUUGGGCGGGAUUUUGGGGAGAGUUUGGGGGAUUUGGGGGUUUCUGGUUCUUUGGAGUUUUGGGAUUUGGGGUGGAAAAUUUAUGGGAUUUUGGUCAGGAUAUCUCAGGAUUUUAUGGGAACUUUAUGGGAUUUCAGUCAGGAUUAAAGCUUUUGGGUCAGAAUUGAGGGAUUUAGGCAAAAUUUGGGACCAAAAGUUGGGAUUUGGGGGGGAUUUAAUGGGAUUUCGGUCAGAAUUAAGAAAUCUGGACAGAUCUAAAGGAAUUUGAGGCAAAAUUCAUGGGGUUUGGGGUGGAAUUAAUGGGUUUUCAGUCAGAAUUUGGGGAUUUUAGGGAGAAUUAAUGGAAUUCAGGCCAGGAUUAAUGGGAUUUCGGCCAGGUUUAGUGGAAUUUCGGCUAAAAUUAAAGGAUUUGGUCAAAAUUUUGGGGCUUUGGUUCAGAAUUUGGGAUUUUGGUGGGAGUUGAGGGAUUUCGGGAAGGAUUAAGAGAAUUUGAGCCAGAAUUGUGAGAUUUGGGUAAAAUUUGUGGGAUUUUGGUCAGAAUUAGGGGAUUUGAGGCAGAAUUUAGGGCAUUUGGGGCAGAAUUUAAAAGUCUGAGUGAGAAUUUAAUGGGGUUUGGGGCAGAAUUCAAGGAUUUUGGCCAAAUUUAGGGAAUUAAUGGGGUUUUGGACAGAAUGAAGGAAUUCCAGGGAGAAUGAACAGAUUUUGCUUGUGAUUCAGGGUUUAGGUCAGGACUUUGGUACAGAAUUAAUGGGGUUCAGGCUGAAAUUAAUGGGAUUUAGACCAUAAUUAAUGGAAUUUUGGUUGGAAUUGGUGGGAUUUUGUGCAGAAUUAAGGGAAUUUGAGGCAAAAUCAGUAGAAUUGGAAUCACAAUUAAUGGGAUUUGGACUGGAAUUAAUGGGAUUUGAGUCAGAAUGAAGGGAUUUGGGGGUUGGAUUAAGGGAUUUGAGUUGAAACUAAUGGGAUUUUGCUUGGAAUUAAGGGAUUUGGGCUGGAAUUAAGGAAUUUUAUACAGAAUUGGUGGGAUUUUGGCCAGAUUUCUGUGAUUUGGGGUAGAAUUAAGGGAUUUGUGUUGGAAUUAAUGAGACUUGAGCCACAAUUAAGGGAUUUGGUGCAGAAUUGGUGGGAUUUGGUGCAGAAUAUCAGGAUUUGGGCCAGAAUUAAGGAAUUUGGGUCAGAAAUCAUGGAAAUUGACCAGAAUUAAAGGAUUUGGUGCAGAAUUAAGGGAUUCAGGGUAGAAUUAAGGCAUUUGUGUUGGAAUUAAUGAGAUUUGAGCCAGAAUUAGGGGAUUUGAUACAAAAUCAGUGGGAUUUUGGUUGGAAUUAA